Long non-coding RNA from Passer domesticus (house sparrow), 2838 nucleotides. RefSeq lists it as uncharacterized. The transcript is spliced from 2 exons. The record is from RefSeq and is a predicted model, not a curated record. Lineage: Eukaryota; Metazoa; Chordata; Aves; Passeriformes; Passeridae.
CACUUGCAACACCUGAAAAACUGGGUUAUAUUAUGGUGGCCAGCUUCUGUUUAACUGCUCUCCAACGAUCACAACUGAAGUACUGGCAUUCUCAACAGAAACCUGACCGCUCUUCUUCCUCUACCCCCCUUCAUAUCCACGCAGAGCAAUCAGCAACCCAAAUCUGCCUUUUCCUCUUUUAUAGCUGAAACACACCAAGCCAAACAGAAAGAAGUUCAUAAAGCUUUUCUUCCUCCCACUUGUGUGCUUUUAUGCUUUUUAGCUACAAUUCAGGAGCUACUCUACUGCAUAAAAACAAUUUACUAACUUGAACAUUUUUUCUUCUGAAAAAAAGCUCAGCAUGGAAGCAAAGAAUUUAGUAUGGGAGUAAAUGGAUUGGGAGCAAGUACUACUUCAAAACACAACCUUAUACCAAGAACACAAAAAGCAUGAAGGACUAUUUGAGGAUGUCAUAUUUCCAUAAUCUAAAUUCUUAAGAUAGCAAAAUUCUAUAGAACUAACUUUGAUCGUGAUGCACAUAUAUAUGGUAGUGUUUCCUAGCAGUCACAACAGUAUUUUGCAAUCAUUUAGCAUUAUCAGGCUCUAAGAAAAUCCAAAGAAAUGUCAAUACUAACUGCAGACUAUAGUUAUUACUAACAAGUAAGUUUACUUCAGCUUGAUGGAGAAAAAAAUUACUUGCUGAAAGAAAAAGCAAACAAGAAAAAACAUAGAGGGGGGAAAAAGAAUGAGACAAAUAACCAGUUUUUUACUUGAAUGGAGAUAAUAAAUACAAACAUCUUAUCCCUAUGUCGAUUCCCUCUCCAUUUAAAAUGGAAUAGGUUAAUGGGAAAUUCCAUUCCAGGCAGAAUAAAACAGAAUCAAAACAAAUCAGUUGGCCAAGAACUAAUUUACACUAUUUCCUACAGCACUUGCAUUUUAUAAAACCAGAUUCAAAAAAGGAUUUGUAUUAAAAAAUGUUUCCUUUCUCAUCUGGACAUGCUAUAAGAUCUCCAAAGAAUUUGGCAUAACCAUCAGCUUACUAUGAGAAUCACAUCUUCAACACAACCAGCAAUAAUAUCACAAGCUAGAAUUUGUGUGUAUCACUGGCACAACAUUAAUCUCAGACAACACCUGCUCAUGCUACAGCCAGCCUAAAUGACCUUUUAUGAUUGCUGUGCUCAUUCUGAGUAAAAAUAUGCCAUCAUUUUUAAAUACAAAUUGUUCUUGUUCUUUUCUGCCCCCAUAUAAACUGGCCAAAUCCAUAAAAUUUUAAAUCUACAGCUGAAUGAUAAAAGGAAACUUACUGAGAACCUCCUGUUAAGGCAAAUGAAGUAACUGAGGUUCUACACUACAUGCAAACAACAGGAAACAACAGCCCUGGGAGUUUUAAUAAGAUUCAGGUAGCUUUCAUGUUCAUGUACUAAUAUAUUGUAUGUAGCAUACAGAUAGAACCUGGAAUCUAGAAGCAUCUUCUAGACUGGAAAUUUAAGGAGGAAAUAAACUGUACCUUAGUGCUCAGACACAUAACUACCAUCACAUUUUAGGUAACAAUAAAUAUAAACAAUACACAUUUAUCAAAUUUUAGUAAUGAAGUCAUCAACAAAAUUUGCUACCCAUACAACAUAACUUCUUCAAAGACUGUCAAAUGCAUGGCUUAAGUUUAUUUACCAUUUUGCCAUCAUAUAUAAAUUUGGGCUGAAAUUUGCAUUCCUGUUGUAUCAAUUCAGAUUUCUAUUUGGCAUUUUAUUUUGCUUUUAGCAGAGUAUCGAAAGCCAACAGCACAAACAAAAAAUAACUUACAAAGCAUUAUGCUUAAUUACCAGACCCUGCAGCACCACCCAGUGAGCCAACCAUGUCCUGGGCUGCACCAAAAGCAGCAUGUCUCUAAUGUGAAGGGAGGGGAUUCUGCCCCUCUCCUCCACUCUGCUGGGACCCCACCUGAGAGCAAUGAAGGACACAGACCCGCUGGAAGAACCCAGACAAAGGCCAUGAAGAUGAUCAGGGCACUGGAGCAUCUCUGCUAUGGAGACAGGCUAAGAGAGUUGGUGUUGUUCAGCCUGGAGAAGGCUCCAGGGAGACCACACAGCACCUUCCAGUACCUAAAAGGGGCCUCUAAGAAAGUUGGACAGAGACUUUUUACAAGAGCAUGAAGGGACAGGACAAGGGAUGACAGCUUUAAAUGGAUAUAGAGUAGAUUUAGAUUAGAUAUUAGGAAUAAUUCAUUUACUUGGGGGUGGUGAGACUCUGGAACAGGAUGACCCUCCAGUAGCUGUGGAGUUGCACCUGCCUGCAAGUGUCAAGACCAAGCUGAAUGGGGCUACCAGGUGUAGGAGGAGGUGUCCUUGCCCACGGCAGGGGGUUGGAACUAGAUGAUCUUCACAGUCCCUUCCAACACAAGGCAAUCUAGGGAAUCUCUUCUGACUGCCUUGUCAGCAUUGGUCUGAGCACUCUCCAUUUACAAAACAGCACUUUGCAGGUAUUUUCUAGAGCAUUUCAUGUCAAUCUACCUGCAGGAGCGUGUGCAAAAGUGACACAGAGUGAUACAAGUCUGACAACUACUGGUGUGGAAAAUGGAGAAACCCGACUGCAUUAUACAUUUUCAGGAUGUCGAAUCCCUGUUACUAAGUCCCUACAUUGCUUAUCAACCAAAUAAAAAGACCCAAGAAAACCCAAAAAGCAAGCAAGCAAGCAACCACAGGAAGACCUAAAAAACAAAGGCUCUCCAUCUUCGCAACUAUUUCUAUUUUAAGUUAGCAAGUUUCCUGCCUGGGUGAUGACGUUUUGCAGAUGCUACAAGAAACGCUACAUGGUAUUCAUUAAUCUGGGGCAAAUCAAUUAAAAUUAUACAACUGCUCGGUA